Molecule: microRNA precursor, 85 nt
Organism: Gallus gallus (chicken)
Lineage: Eukaryota; Metazoa; Chordata; Aves; Galliformes; Phasianidae
Source: Ensembl
UGCUGAUUUUAUCUAUUCCUUGCAGGUUUUGCCUGUCGGUUUAAACAGACAAGGCAGGAUCACAAGGUCUGGAUAGCAAUUGGCA